GGGGGGGGGGGGGCUAUACAUGCAGUCGAGCGAACUGAUUAGAAGCUUGCUUCUAUGACGUUAGCGGCGGACGGGUGAGUAACACGUGGGCAACCUGCCUGUAAGACUGGGAUAACUUCGGGAAACCGAAGCUAAUACCGGAUAGGAUCUUCUCCUUCAUGGGAGAUGAUUGAAAGAUGGUUUCGGCUAUCACUUACAGAUGGGCCCGCGGUGCAUUAGCUAGUUGGUGAGGUAACGGCUCACCAAGGCAACGAUGCAUAGCCGACCUGAGAGGGUGAUCGGCCACACUGGGACUGAGACACGGCCCAGACUCCUACGGGAGGCAGCAGUAGGGAAUCUUCCGCAAUGGACGAAAGUCUGACGGAGCAACGCCGCGUGAGUGAUGAAGGCUUUCGGGUCGUAAAACUCUGUUGUUAGGGAAGAACAAGUACAAGAGUAACUGCUUGUACCUUGACGGUACCUAACCAGAAAGCCACGGCUAACUACGUGCCAGCAGCCGCGGUAAUACGUAGGUGGCAAGCGUUAUCCGGAAUUAUUGGGCGUAAAGCGCGCGCAGGCGGUUUCUUAAGUCUGAUGUGAAAGCCCACGGCUCAACCGUGGAGGGUCAUUGGAAACUGGGGAACUUGAGUGCAGAAGAGAAAAGCGGAAUUCCACGUGUAGCGGUGAAAUGCGUAGAGAUGUGGAGGAACACCAGUGGCGAAGGCGGCUUUUUGGUCUGUAACUGACGCUGAGGCGCGAAAGCGUGGGGAGCAAACAGGAUUAGUUCUUUG
RNAcentral lists this ribosomal RNA (770 nucleotides) under Priestia megaterium. RNAcentral describes it as "bacterial SSU rRNA". It matches the Rfam family "Bacterial small subunit ribosomal RNA", at positions 38 to 789 of the family's 1533-position model. Lineage: Bacteria; Bacillati; Bacillota; Bacilli; Caryophanales; Bacillaceae. The record is from RNAcentral.